This 235-nucleotide long non-coding RNA is filed under the name Nicotiana benthamiana. Its description in RNAcentral is "long non-coding RNA (NBEN_LNC001002)". The record is from RNAcentral. Lineage: Eukaryota; Viridiplantae; Streptophyta; Magnoliopsida; Solanales; Solanaceae.
GGUAGAGUUCUGAUGGGGAGUCUCAAGUCAAGCAAAGGUGGCAGACAUACUUUCGAGACUUAACGAUGUGGGGGAUCGUAACAUAGAGUUAGGGGAGUUGGGGGUAUUCAGAGCAACAUAGAGACCUUGGGUACUACAGGCGCAUUAGGGCGGGGGAGGUCAUGGGUGCUUUGGAUGAGUAGGGGUCGAGCAACCGGGCCUGACGAGAUCCCGGUAGAGUUCUGGAAAUGCAUGG